This 232-nucleotide ribosomal RNA is filed under the name uncultured bacterium. RNAcentral's name for it is "partial 16S ribosomal RNA". It matches the Rfam family "Bacterial small subunit ribosomal RNA", at positions 118 to 350 of the family's 1533-position model. The record is from RNAcentral.
UGGGCAACCUGCCCUCAGCUCUGGGAUAACCCCGGGAAACCGGGGCUAAUAUCGGAUACGACCUCCGCGGGCAUCUGCGGAGGUGGAAAGGUUUUCCGGCUGAGGAUGGGCCCGCGGCCUAUCAGCUAGUUGGUGUGGGUAAUGGCCCACCAAGGCGACGACGGGUAGCCGGCCUGAGAGGGUGACCGGCCACACUGGGACUGAGACACGGCCCAGACUCCUACGGGAGGCA